UACGUAGGGUGCAAGCGUUGUCCGGAAUUAUUGGGCGUAAAGAGCUCGUAGGCGGUUCGUCGCGUCGGCUGUGAAAACCCGGAGCUCAACUCCGGGCCUGCAGUCGAUACGGGCGGACUUGAGUGUUGCAGGGGAGACUGGAAUUCCUGGUGUAGCGGUGAAAUGCGCAGAUAUCAGGAGGAACACCGGUGGCGAAAGCGGCUCACUGGACCGUGUCUGACGCUGAGGUGCGAAAGCUAGGGUAGCGAACGGG
RNAcentral lists this ribosomal RNA (253 nucleotides) under uncultured bacterium. RNAcentral's name for it is "partial 16S ribosomal RNA". It matches the Rfam family "Bacterial small subunit ribosomal RNA", at positions 524 to 776 of the family's 1533-position model. The record is from RNAcentral.